RNAcentral lists this transfer RNA (73 nucleotides) under Sparus aurata (gilthead seabream). It matches the Rfam family "tRNA". Rfam says of the family: Transfer RNA (tRNA) molecules are approximately 80 nucleotides in length. The record is from Rfam by way of RNAcentral. Lineage: Eukaryota; Metazoa; Chordata; Actinopteri; Spariformes; Sparidae. RNAcentral also lists the same sequence under 4 other names.
GGUUCUAUAGUGUAGUGGUCAUCACGUCUGCUUUACACGCAGAAGGUCCUGGGUUCAAUCCCCAGUGGAACCA